GACGAACGCUGGCGGCGUGCCUAAUACAUGCAAGUCGAGCGGACGGAUGGGAGCUUGCUCCCAGACCGUCAGCGGCGGACGGGUGAGUAACGCGUGGUCAACCUGCCUGUAAGACUGGGAUAACUCCGGGAAACCGGGGCUAAUACCGGAUAACUCUUUCCCUCCCAUGAGGGAAAGCUGAAAUAUGGCAUCUCGCUAUCACUUACAGAUGGUCCCGCGGCGCAUUAGCUAGUUGGUGAGGUAACGGCUCACCAAGGCGACGAUGCGUAGCCGACCUGAGAGGGGGGUAGGCGACACGGGGAGUGAGACAGGGACAAGACGCCUAAGGGAGGCAGCAGUAGGGAAUCGUACGCAAUGGACGAAAGUAUGACGGAGUAACGCCGAGUGAGUGAUGAAGGUGUUCGGAUCGUAAAACUCGGUUGUCAGGGAAGAACAAGUACCGGAGGAACUGAAGGUAGAGUGACGGUACCUGGCCAGAAAGCCACGGCUAACUACGUG
RNAcentral lists this ribosomal RNA (498 nucleotides) under uncultured bacterium. Its description in RNAcentral is "partial 16S ribosomal RNA". It matches the Rfam family "Bacterial small subunit ribosomal RNA", at positions 28 to 507 of the family's 1533-position model. The record is from RNAcentral.